RNA transcript from Pygocentrus nattereri (red-bellied piranha), 2416 nucleotides. RefSeq lists it as uncharacterized. NCBI's taxonomy places the organism in Eukaryota, Metazoa, Chordata, Actinopteri, Characiformes, Serrasalmidae. The transcript has 4 exons. The record is from RefSeq and is a predicted model, not a curated record.
GGUGUUGGCUGGGGAGCUUGUUUGAUUUGGUAGGCCAACGUUGCUUUAACCUUACCCUGUGAAAGAAUGGGGGAGGUCUAUAUAAUGAAUUGUAUCGGUUACGUUUGUCAACUUCAGAGACUGCCUUACAAGUCUUUUUGACGUUUGAAUUACUGUAAACACUUUAGCCCUGCGAGUUCAGAAGUGCAGGCUUGAGUACUACACUAACAUGAAUGGCAAAGAUGCUAAUGCACGCGUGCAUGGACGGCUUUGUAGAAGUAUGUAGCACUAUGGAAACUAUCACUUUACUGUUUACGCAUAAUGCUCGUUUAUUUCAACGUAAAUACAAGUACAGUCUCACACUGAAGUACUCAUUGGCUUUAGUUGAAACGAACGUCAGGUUUCAGUUGCGUUGCAUAAUGACAAGCCACCUGCAACUCCAUUGCAAUCUGUGGAAAUUCCGCUGCAACCCGUCAACGUUGUGAAACAGGUUUCAUGAAAUGACCAAUGAAACAGGCGGCUGCGUGCCACGUGAUCACGUUAAACGUAAUCUUCAACCGACACUGAAUCAAUAGAAUGUUCGAUUCCAGAAAUUUUAGAGUCGAUUCUGGUUCAAAGAGACUGGAAUCGAUGGAGUCGAUUCCACACAAUUUCUUCCAACAGUCGGAGAGGGGCCUGGAAAAAGUGCAGUAUUACAUACAUAAUGUAUUAUUAUAAUUUAUUUUACGAAUGAAUAAUCUUAUAUUAACUUCUUAUCUGCUUUAGAGACACAAUAGAGUUUAGCUAUUUGACCUUAGCAAGGCAGUUUCGGAGAGCUAAGUCUGUCCAGUCCUGUGUGCUGUAGACGGACGCGUUUCCGUGUGUCUCGGACAGACAGGCGGCCGACGCUGUGUGCGGUUUCAAAGCUCUGGAGUCGAAACUCGAUUCACACAUGCCUGGACUCGGAGAGUCGACUCUUUGGAAUCGACUCACAGUCCCAAUGGUCAGGAAAAUUAAACAAGAUGGUUUGCUGGACGGUUGAGAAGGAGAUCCUUUUGAUCGACUUCAUGCAAGGUUGCGCGGAGAGUGCUUUGGGAUCCCAAGGAUGAAAACUACUACAGAAGAGGAGACCGGGAUGCGGUCCUGGAUGAACUUGCUGAGCUUCUAGGACACGAUGAGCGAGGAAACAAAUACAGCCGCACAGAUAUUAAAGAGAAAUUUCAUAGCAUGAGAACCGUUUUCAACCGAGAAGCCAAGAAAGUGGAAGCCUCUCUGCAGUCUGGAACUGCUACAGAUGCUGUGUAUGUGCCACGGUGGGUUCACUUCAACAGAAUGCUGUUCCUGAGGGAUGUACUUAGAACAAGACCAGUCCAGGACAAUAUGAAACACAGCACCAUUUUAAAGACAUGUUUGAAGGACGAGUGUGAGGAGGAGCUCGAAGAUGGUGCUAUACCAAGCACCAGUGACUCCUGUACAACCCCUGAAGCACCAGUACCAAGACAAAGAAAACGAAAAGCAAUUAUUGAUGAGAGCGAUGCCACAAGGAUGGACAUUUGUAAUAGCAUACUUAAAUGUCUGCAGCAGCCAUCAGAAGUGGAUCCAAAUGACACGUUUGGAAAAUAUGUUGCUGACACCUUGAAAGGUAUGAGCCUUUGGAACAGAGAACUUUGCAAAGCUGAGAUACAACAGGUCAUGUCAAAACAUCUUCUGAAUGACAUGCAAAAUGAUGCAUGACGUUUACAGAGAAGAGCAGUGUUCUUCAUUGUGCAGCUCGCUGGCCACUAGCAGCCCCUGGAGGGCAACGUGGUGGCCCUUGAACUCCUCAACCAUAGACACAAUCUCUGAAAUACAGAAAAAAGUAGGCCUAAUAUGUUUCAAUAAUAAAAGCACUGUCGUUCUCUAAAACAAGUCAUUAUACAGCUUCACCCCUAGGUGCAGCUGUUGGAGUUGUGUCCUAGGGGUCAGCUAUUUAUGUUCCAGUUUUAUUUCACUGACAAGCUUAGUUUAUUUACACUUACAAACAAAGAUGCCUGGAGCAGAACCGUGCCUACAUUUCUAAGGGAAAACCGCUCCUCAGCAAAAGAAGCAAAGAAGCACAGAAUAUACCGAGACUGUACAAAGUAGUGUAUCUGAUAUAAGGAAGCAUAUCUGAAAAACAGACAAUUUCAAGACAAAUGGAUCUUUGAGUUUCUUUUCAUUAUGAGUGCAGUACACUGCAGCCAAUGAUUUUAAUGUACGAGUGAAUAACUUAAGGUUUGUUGAGUUUUUUUUUACUAAAAUUAUUAAAACUUUAUGGCCUAAUGUUAAACGUUCAGCAUCAGCCAUCAGCCUAUAACACACCCAUUUCUGAAAAUCUUAUAGCCUGUCCUUUGUCACUAGUCUUGCCACAAUCUGCUCUUUUUGAAAAUGAAGUAGAUCUGUGACUCUUAAUGUGUAUUAAAUGAAAUCUACACAUCAA